RNAcentral lists this long non-coding RNA (13913 nucleotides) under Malus domestica (apple). Its description in RNAcentral is "long non-coding RNA (MDOM_LNC018703)". The record is from RNAcentral. Lineage: Eukaryota; Viridiplantae; Streptophyta; Magnoliopsida; Rosales; Rosaceae.
AAUAACUAAGGAAACACGACAUAAAUGCACAAGAACAAGCCAACUAAGUCGCAUAAAUAUGCUCCUAUCACUAGCGACCUUCACUACUUGCGAAUAUAAAUUCAUAACGAUUAGGUGAAACAAAUUUAUAUCCUAGCACCAAAUUCAAGCAUGCAAAUUAAGCGUGCACUCUCAAUCAACAUGCAAGAAUAAGUUCUCAAUCCAACGGUUAAGCAAAUUGUAUUCACAACUUAUGCAACGAUAACUGGAAGUAAUCAACUUAUUUCACAUAUAUAAUCAUGGUUUUGAAUACACCUUUAGCCAAAACAAAAUUAGCCAAUCAUACUUAAAGCAAAACAAAGAUUACAUGAAUUAGACAUUAAAAUCCAAAGAAAGAAAACACCUAGAAUGCUCCAACUUGGCAGCAAGUGCAUCCAAGAUUUCUCCUUUCCCUUGCUUGCGGUAGAUUGGUUUGUGGACAGGUUUUGGGUAGUUUUAUGGUGUAGAAUGGAUGGGGAAUGGUAUGGAAAGGUUUAGGGUGAGUGUGGAGGAGUGUUUGAUGGUUGGAGGGUGGUGGAGAACUCGGUAAAGAUGGUGGAAGAAGGUGGAGUGGCUGUUAUGUUUUCUGGGCACUAGAAUGGUGUUUUUGGGGUGUUUUGCUGCCUAGGGUGUGUAUGGACGAAUUUUCUGUGAUGAAUGAUGAAUAUGGGAGGUGGAAUCUUUGGCCAAGGGGUGUAAACAUGUAUAUAUAGGCCCCAAAAACCCUAGAGAAUCAGGUUAGGCAAUGGAGGAAGUGUACAGUAAGGAGGGUGAAUUUGUGGUGUGCAAUGGUCCAAGGAUGAAAAUGAAGUAAUGAUGCAAAGUAUGGAGGGUAAAAUGGAGUGGUGUUGCAGCUAGGGAGCAUGAAUGAUUGUGCACAUUGAAUAGAAAUGAAAAGGGAGGUGAAAUGUUUCAGAAAUGAGUCAAAGGUGCAGCCACAUGUGUUGCACACGGCAUGGGAUUCCAAAGGUGGCUGAUGGAACAUCAAUUGGUGCAUGUAAUGGUUGUGAAUGAAGGAUGAUUUUGUGAAAACAUGUUCAUUUGAAUAACAUCUAUAGCAUGCAUUUAAUAAUUAAAAGGCGGAAUCAUGCUUGCAUGCAUUCAAAUACAAAACAUUACCCAUGAAAUUCAAAGCCUAGUAGAUUGGUGAACCAAGACUCAACUCAAAUCAAAGUGAGUUGAGAAAUAUAUACCUUUGUAGAUUCCUCUUUGCAUAAGCAAAGGCUAAUCACCCAAAGAGAGGGCCUUCAUUCCUUGCUUCUUAGAUCCAUGGAUUUGGAUGGAAGAAUAUGGUUCUCCAAGUUCCCAAAAUUGAGAACCUCUAAGUCUCCACUCCAAGGUUAGAUUUAAGUAGAAAAUGAGUGACCUUGGAGGAGUAGGAUUGCUAGCUACACCCUCAAAGGGGGCCGGCCUCCUAGAGAGAAAAGGAGAGACAUGUUCUCUCCAAUUUUCUCCAAAAGAACCCUUUAAUGAAUUUUAGGCUAUAAAGUUCUUUAUAUAGUCACUUCUUUAAAUGACUUAAGAACCAAAAACCCUAAUUCAACACACAUGGCCGGCCACAUAAGGGAUUUGAGCUUUUGGGCCUUUGUGAAUCUUUAUUCAUUAAAUUGUCAUACAACUUAAGUUAAUGGGCUUGACGUUCGAAGCCCAUUGGGCCUUAAGGUCUAAAACUAUCCCGAGGUCUUUAACGAACUUAUUUGUUUGAUUAAUUAACAUAUUAAUUAAUCCUUGCCAUAAACAAUUAAACCAUUUAAUUAUUCUUACUCAUCUCCAUUGUUUCUUCAAUCUCCACCUUACACGGUGUACGAUCCAUUAGGUUCCUUUUAGCGAGGCAGUGGGUGAUUAGAACUCUUUCAAAUUGAUUGUGAAUUGAAACUUACUUUCAAUUCUCCCUUUAGUGUUUAUACACGUUUAGGGCUUCCACAAACCUAGAGUGACACCUAGCAGCAUAUCAUGGUUACCCAAGCUAAUCAGAAGAGGUAGAGAACCUAUUCAGUUUAGGAUUACAAAUGUAAUACGGUCUUUCUCUAAUACAAUACUCUUGACCACAUUGUUUGGUUUGAUAGUUUAUUCAUGUCUACUAUCCAAUGUGAUUCGUGUGCUUAUAUGAUUACCUUGAAUGUGAUUUGGAACGACUUUCCUAAAUCUCAUUCAUACUCUGGCCAGAGAUUCUUAAUCAUAUCAUAGAGUAUUCUCCCUCAAACAGUUUGAAGGUUAGAGAUCCCUUGUUGCGCAUUCACUUGCCUCCAUAGCUAAGUGGCUUAACCCCAACGAUGCCGUGGACACCCGCGGAUGGGGUGACUUUGACAUAAUCAAAGAUCAAGGACUUAACCACAAGACAAACGUGAUGCCUCAGGUCAAAUGACUACUUUGCAUUAUCCUAACCAUGAGUUCUCAUGUGACAUGAAUAUGAGAACUCUUCGUUGAUCGUGUUCAGUGAACUCAUUCUCUAUUGAGCACCUAUGUACUUGUCUUGAUGUCACACACACCAAUGACUCGAGACUAGUCACUCUCCCUGAGAGAAGAUACAGCACGUACUGAUCUUAACGGACUGUCAAUGCCCAAUUGGCAAUCCUAUGAUCAGGAACGUUUAGGAUGUGUCUACGAAAGAAUGGUCUCAUAAAUCUAACUUCUUUGGAUUGCAUUCUCCCAAUCACAUAUUCCUUGGACUUAUCGUUUAAGCAUAUAACAUUUAUAUGAGACGGCUCAAACAAUAAUCUUUACCCUCGAUAUUAAACUAGAUUAGUUUAACAUGUGAAAUGUCCGUAAAGUAUCAUCAUAUGAUUGGUUUUAGGGCACAUUUCCAACAGUGAAAGUUGUAUGAAAUCUGAUGGGUGAAGGGAACAAGAGGUAUGCAGCAAUUGAGUGUAAUAAUUAAAUGUAUUGAGGCAUGAAAUCAGAAAUAAUGUAGGGGACAAGGGUGAUUAAGCAUGGCAUGGGAAUCCAAAGGGAAUACAAUGGUGAUUGCACGGCAAGGAAGGUGCAUUGUGGAGUGACACCCUUUUGUGGCUGAGUUCUUUAUCCUUUGUACAAUAAUUCUUCACAUUCUUAGCCUCUUUAGUCUUCAAUUUCGUCCAUCCACCUUGCUCCAUGCAUUUGCUAUCCAUUCCAAACCCGAAACUGCUCCAAAGGCCUCCAAAAUGCAUCUUCUUGCAUACUUUGUCCUUAGAAUCUGAAAACACACAAAAAUGACUUUAAACACUAAAAUAACUAAGAAAACACAACGUAAAUGCACAAGAACAAGCUAACUAAGUCACAUAAAUAUGCUCCUAUCAAAUUCCCCCACACUUAGCUUUUGCUAGUCCUCGAGCAAAACAAAAUAAACUAAACAAAACAAACCAACAAAACGAACAAAACCCAACCUAAACCUUCCAACGUUUGCCUCAGGGAUUUCCAAUGCACAUGACAUGUUAAAAAUUGUCAUCCCCACAGAUUUUAGUUGUCUUCUCACUUAAGCACAUACUUAAUCAUAGUCACCACUUACUAGUUCACAUUUAAGCAAUUAAAACAAUGUUUUGAAUGUAGUAACAUGCCUUAGAGAAUUUGCUCAAGUUCCUUACAAGAUAUUCACUCAAUUUUCACUCAGAUUUUUCUAACUACACACCCUAUACUAGUUAUAUGUGAGAAGAUUGAUGUAAACAUGAAAACGAACGCUCACAUAUAUGUAUUACAAAGAAAGCGAUUUCUGGAGCAUGUUUAGAUAUGAUCUCAUGAAUGGAAUGCUACUACUUAGAUGCGAGAACCAGUGACACCAUAUGCUCAUAUCAAAUUCAAACUCCACAAAUUGAAACACAUAACACUCAAGAUUGAAGUCAAGGUUGUAACGAGGCUUGGGGGUGUUGGCUAACAAAUGAAAGUAAGGGAAAAACAAACGUUCUUAAAGCAAUAGCAAAUAAAGUAAUGAACUUGAACUUAGAAUUCACUUAAAUUGCAGAAAUCAACUUUUAGACAUAAGGGAAAGAUUUAAACAACUCUUUAGGGUCAAAUUCAACUUUUUUUUUUUUUUCAUAGCACGAAUUUUUCUUUUCUUUUCUUUCCACCCGUGCCUAUGGCACACUACUUACAUGAGAAACACUUCCCCCACACUUGUUUUCUGCCAAACAUUACUCAAAAGGAAUUCAAUUUGAAUCAUGCUUUACUAUACUUUAAGAACAAGGGUAUGGAUGGUCCUAAUCUAGGCUAGGUGAGGAUAACGUGGGUUAACAAAGAACGUAGGCUAACAAGGCUCAAUGGGGUUAACUUAAACAAAUAAUGAAGUAGGAUACACGGCAAUUUGGCUUUGGUGGUGGUAACUACACAACUUCAUCUUGAAUAUGUGUUAUGCAAAUCAAUAUCAUGCUUUGAAUGAAAUGGGCAUGAGUUCUAGCAUUUGGAACUAAAUGAUGAAAUGCCUUCUAAGUAGUAACCAAGCAAAGAAAAAUGAGAUCAUGCAACGACUUUAGAAAACAAUAAUGCACAGAUUAUCAACUCUCCAAAUAACGUUUAGGCUCAAGUCCCACAAGGUUGUAGCGUUUGUUUGAGUUCCUUCCUUCAAGCAUGUUACAAAAACUAAUUUUUCCUUUAUGAUUGCAUGUGAAUUCAUAAAUUAUAACCACAACCAAGCAUACACCAAAGAGUAAAUCAAAUGUUCAUCCAUGUUUAUAACUCUCUUUAACAGUCAUGUAAUUAAAAACCAAAUCCUCAUCCUUGUGUUGGAAGGUACCCUAAGACACAAACAAAAACAACUCUUUUUGGUUUUUUUUUCAAAACAAUUUUUCAAAUUUUUAUGAGAUUUUCAGAUUUUUAUGUCAAAACACACUAAAAUACUCCAAAAUACCUUAAAAAACACUUAAAAGAGCAAGGAACAACAUUAGAAGUAAUGGGUGAUAAACUCCUACGAAUUUCAUGCAAAACAAUGGUUACCCCCCCACACUUAAAUCAAACAUUGUCCUCAAUGUUUCAAGCAUAAACUCGCACAAAAACAAGCAAAUAAACAAACAACGAAUAAACAUGACAAGUAUAGCAAAGUAAACAAAAAAAAAUAGACAGAGUAGAGUUUAAGAACGCAAAUCUGGUUUUGGAGAUAGAUGAUCUUGUUAUCUUUCCACAGCUUUGAUCUCGAACUGGUUUGUAUUUCUGAGCGAGAAAUAUGAGAGUUCCUUGGUUUCAAAUCAGACUCCUUCUGCUGGGAUGAUUUGAUUGUGCAGUCUGCAUUCUUCUCUGCUUGUUUCUUCUGCACGGCGGGCAGGCACGAGGUAAAGGUGUUGGUCUGUUUCUUUCUUCAAUCUUUCCAAGUGCCCACCUCUUGCUUUCUUUCUCCUUGUCCCUAGCUGAUUGGUAAAUUGUCUCCACAUGCUUAGAGGUAUCAUUUUCACUUCCCUUAUCUGUUCCCCAGGCAGAUGUGGUAGACGAAGAGGAAGCACAAGAUGAUGAAGAUGAGUACUCGAGAGCAAGGCUAGGUAAGCAAUCAGGAAGGCGUUCUAAGCAGUCGGUUCCAGAUCGGAAGAUUGAUGCCAAGUGCUGGCUGGUUGCUUUCCUUCUCCUAGUCCUACAAGUUAGAACAAAGACAAGGAAAAGGACACGGAGAAUGCCUGAUAUGAGAUACUCUUGCUUUCUACCUUCAUGAUAUGAAAUACUUUUGCUCUAGAUGGGUUGUUCGCAGGAGUAUCCCAAGGAAUGAGGAAUACAGAGUGACUCGUGAGGGUUUGUUGGAAAGCUAUUUCAGAGAGGAUGAAAGGUUAAGUGAGGCUGAAAGUUGGGUGAGGCUGCCUCACUAUGAAGUUCAACAUUUAUAGAAUUUUCUUAAUGGCUGGGAAGGCAUUGUUCCAUUACUCGUGUCGGCAAGCCUGGGAUAAUUUAACAGUACACUUCAUGUGCAUUCUGCUUCUCCAGAAAUCUUCGACAGAUUGCGCGUGAUUUACGCAACACAGAUGUGCAAUUGACAGAUGCUGACACGUCUUGAUAAAGCAGAUGCCUCUUUAAUAUCCGGAAUUUGCGCUUCGAGUUCUGAGCUUCGUUGAGGGCAAAGAUUGCAUGUGACAAGUGUGGACAAAUCUAGAAAACGAAGAUUGGCCCGGAGUUUCAAGCCCAACUUUUGAGAAAGCGAGUGCCUCCUUGAGAACUGGAAUCGGUGGUUUGUAAGCAAGCCCAACUUUUGAGAAAGUUGGCGCCUCUUCGAUCUUUGAAUUGGCUUCUUCGAUUUCUGAGCUCACUUUUUCGAUCUCUGAAAUCCCAUCGCGUGCUGAUUUUUAUAGAGGUAUGCAGGACGUUCAAAGCACACUUGAAUUUCUGCCUGUAAGAACUCCAGUUUUGCACUUCUACGAUCUUGACUUGUCCGAUCUCAUCUUUCUUUAACACCUUUGAAAAAUGUCUGGCCCUUCCGACCGUCGUUUUGACUUGAACCUUGGUGAAGAGGUAGCCCCGCCUUCUCCAGACAACAUAUGGCGCCCAUUCUUCAUAUCCCCUACUGGUCCUCUUACCGUUGGGGAUUCGGUGAUGAAGAAUGACAUAACCGCUGCGGUGGUGGCCCGGAACCUUGUCACUCCUAAAGAUAACAGACUGCUUUCCAGACGGUCUGAUGAGUUGGCUGUUAAGGAGUCUCUGGCUCUUAGUGUGCAGUGUGCGGGUUCUGUGUCCAACAUGGCCCAACGCCUAUUUGCUCGAACUCGUCAAGUUGAAUCGUUGGUGGCUGAAGUAAUGAAUCUCAAGCCAGAGAUUAGAGGGCUUAAGCAUGAAAAUAAACAAUUGUACAAGCUCACAAACAACUAUGCCACAAACAUGAAGAGGAAAAUUGACCAGAUGCAGGAAUCUGAUGGUCAAAUUUUAAUUGAUCAUCGGAGGUUUGUGGGUUUGUUCCAACAGCAUUUGCCUUCGUCUUCUGGGGCUGUACCGCGUAGUGAAGCUCCAAAUGAUCAACCUUCGAUACCUCCUCCUUCUGUGGCCCCACCGACUGCUGAGACUCCGCCGACUACUGAGACUUCUCCUAAGCAGCCUUUGUGAAGGCUCCCUCUUGUAUUAUGCUGUGUUUCUUUAUUUCCCAGUUUCCUGUUCAUUUCCAUGAAGUUUAAUGUUAAAAUCCUUUGCAUAUUUGUUAAUGUUUCAAAAUAGAAAACCAUACCCAAAAAUAAUUAAACAAGCAAUAAUAUUGACAAUCAUGGCAGAAUAAAUGGGUUGCCUCCCAAGAAGCGCUUGCUUUAACGUCUUCCAGCCGGACGAUGCCACAUUGAUCAACCUUCAUGGGAACCCACGGCAUAGUGGGUUGUCUCCUCCACAUCAUGUUCUACAAAGCUCUCGUAGUAAGGCUUCACGCGAUGCCCAUUCACCUUGAACUCUUGACCUGUUUUGAAACUACGAACUUGGACUGCACCAUGAGGAAAAAUAUUAGUGAUAACAAAGGGUCCAAUCCAACGUGAACGUAGCUUACCCGGAAAUAGACAAAGAUGAGAAUUAAACAACAACACUUUUUGUCCAACAGAGAAGGACUUGGUGCAAAUCAUCUUGUCAUGAAAGGCCUUCGUCUUUUCCUUGUAAAGUCGAGCAUUCUCGUAAGCUUCAUUCCGUAUUUCCUCAAGUUCAUUCAAUUGAAGCUUACAAUGAAUUCCCGCCUCAUCUACAUCCAUGUUGAACUUCCUCACGGCCCAAUGGGCCUUGUGCUCCAACUCCACAGGUAAGUGACAUGGUUUUCCAUACACAAGCCGAAAGGGGGACAUUCCUAUGGGUGUUUUAUAGGCGGUCCUAUAAGCCCACAAUGCAUCUUCUAACCUCAAGCUCCAAUCUUUUCUUGUUGGCCUAACUGUCUUCUCCAGAAUCUGUUUUAUCUCCCGAUUCGACACCUCGGCUUGCCCGCUUGUUUGAGGAUGAUAGGGUGUCGAAACCCUAUGUGUAACGUUGUACUUCUUAAGCAGUGCCUCGAUUGUGCGAUUACAAAAAUGUGAACCUCCAUCACUUAUAAGAACUCGAGGCAUUCCAAACCUAGCAAAAAUGUUAGACUUCACAAAUUCUGCAACCACUUUGGAAUCGUUAGUCUGGGUGGCUUUUGCUUCCACCCAUUUGGAAACAUAAUCCACCGCCAACAAGAUAUAGAGAAAACCAUGUGAUGACGGAAAAGGGCCCAUAAAAUCAAUUCCCCACACAUCAAAUAUUUCAACAGAAAGUAUAGGGUUUUGUGGCAUUUGAUCCUUAGCACUUAUAUUACCCAUUCGUUUACAACGAUCACAUGUAAGGCAAAAUGUCCUAGCAUCCCUAAAAAUGGUUGGCCAAUAAAACCCACAUUCUAAGACUUUAAGGGCAGUGCGUUGGGUGCCAAAAUGUCCCCCACAUGCAUAUGAAUGACAGAAUGUUAAAAUAGAUUGAAACUCAGAUUCAUUCACACAACGGCAUACAAUCUGAUCGGGACAAAAUUUCCAAAGGUAUGGAUCAUCCCAAACAUAAAACCUAGCAUCCUUUUUAAGCUUAUCACGUUGAUUCCUAUUAAGUGUGCUAGGGAUAUGUUUAGACACCAGGAAGUUCACCAAAUAUGCAUACCAAGGCUCACUUACCUGAAUAGACAUUAAUUGUUCAUCGGGGAAGGUUUCAGAAAUUGGCGAUGCUUCCUCAUGCACCAUUCGACUUAGGUGGUCAGCCAUCACAUUCUCCAUGCCCUUCUUAUCCCGAAUCCCAAUGUCAAACUCUUGUAGAAGCAACAUCCAUCGAAUUAGUCUAGGCUUGGCCUUCUUUUUCGUGAGCAAAUACUUGAGAGCUGCAUGAUCAGUAAAAAUAAUAACUUUAGUACCAAGUAAGUAUGAUCGGAACUUAUCUAAUGCAAAUACCACAGCAAGUAAUUCUUUUUCAGUGGUGGAGUAAUUUAAUUGAGCAUCAUUUAGUGUCCUAGAGGCAUAAUAAAUAACAUGAGGUUGUUUGUUCUUUCGCUGCCCCAAAACAGCACUAAUCGCAUAGUCCGAAGCAUCGCACAUCAACUCGAAUGGAAGGCUCCAAUCUGGAGGUGUGCUAAUGGGAGCCGAAGUAAGAGCUUCUUUUAAUUGCUUGAAUGUCGUGGAGCAUGCAUCAUCAAACUCGAAAGACACCUCUUUUUGAAACAAUCGGCAUAGUGGUUGUGCAAUCUUGGAGAAAUCCUUUAUGAAACGCCUAUAAAAACCUGCGUGACCAAGAAACGAACGAACCUCUCUAACCGAAGUUGGAGAGGGUAAGUGACAAACAAGGUCUACCUUAGAUUUAUCCACUUCAAUGCCUUCUUCAGAAAUAAUAUGUCCUAGAACAAUACCUUGCUUAACCAUGAAGUGACAUUUUUCCCAAUUAAGCACAAGAUUCGUUUCAACACAACGUUUCAAAAUUAAGGUCAGAUUACUCAAGCAAUGAUCGAAUGAAUUACCAAACACGCUAAAAUCAUCCAUGAAUAUCUCAAUAAUUUUCUCCACAUAAUCAUAAAAGAUACUCACCAUGCAUCGUUGAAAUGUCGGAGGGGCAUUGCACAAACCAAAUGGCAUGCGCCUGUAUGCAAAGGUGCCAAAGGGGCACGAGAACGUUGUCUUUUCUUGGUCCUCCGGAGCUAUCACAAUUUGGUUAUAUCCGGAAUAUCCAUCAAGAAAGCAAUAAAAUUGAUAACUGGCUAACCUUUCUAACAUUUGGUCCAGGAAUGGCAACGGAAAGUGAUCCUUCCUUGUCAUGGCAUUUAACAUCCUAUAAUCAAUACAAACACGCCAACCGGUCACCACACGAGUGGGUACAAGCUCUUGUUCUUCAUUCUUCACCACCAUAACUCCGGACUUCUUUGGGACAACCUGCACGGGAGACACCCAACGACUAUCAGAAAUAGGGUAUAUAACACCACAAUCAAGCAAUUUUAUAACCUCUUUCUUUACUACUUCCAACAUGGGUGGAUUAAGGCGAUGUUGAGCCUCCCGAGAUGGCUUAGCUCCCUUCUCCAAAAGGAUGCGAUGCAUGCACGUGGUGGGACUAAUGCCUUUGAUAUCCGCCAAGGUCCAUCUAAUGGCAGAUUUGUGGUCUUUUAACACCCUUAUCAACUUGUCUUCUUCUUGGGCCGUGAGUGAGCUAGAUAUGAUGACGGGUAAUGUCUGAUCUUCUCCCAAGAAAACAUACUUCAAGUGACAAGGUAAUGGCUUCAACUCCAGUGUAGGUGGUUGCACAAUUGAUGGAAGUAACUUGUUAGCCAAAACCGAAUCUAAAAUUGAGAGUGGAGACUUACCAGAUUGUGAGGGUAACGACGCGAGGGCACCGACCAUUUCAAAUACUUCACCAUAAGGGGGCACGGCAAUAUGAUCAGAUUCCAUGCCGUGGGUUGGAAGGAUUCCCCCACCUUCAUUUCUUGCUCCUAUGUCGUGUACUAAGGCUAUUUCAAGUGCAUCGUCGUUCAUUCGAUCCAAAUGUACCUGUGCCAAAGAAUCAACAAUGUCAAUAGCAAAACAAGAAUGGUCCUCAAUUGGAUAUUUAAUGGUUUCAGAAAGAUUAAAACGAAUAAUGUCCCCAUCAAACUCCAUGGUCAAUGUUCCCAUGAACACGUCUAUCUUUGUUCUCGCUGUUUUCAUGAAUGGUCGGCCUAGCAAGAUUGGCAAUGAUGGAGCAUGGCUCGAAUCCUCCAUUUCUAAGACAUAAAAAUCUGCAGGAAAGAUAAGAUGAUUGACCUGCACUAAAACAUCCUUAAGGACUCCCUUGGGAUAUGCGUUAGAACGAUCGGCCAAUUGAAUUAUAACACCAUCCUGUUUUAACUCACCAAGGUUCAUUGAUGCAUAAAUGGAAUAUGGCAUAACAUUAAUAGAAGCACCUAGAUCUAACAUGCAUUGUUCAAAUCUAGUGUUUCCAAUUAUGCAUGGGAUAGUAAAGCUCCCUGGAUCCUUACACUUUGGAGGUAACUUUCGUUGCAAAACCGCGAAUACAUUUUCACUUACUUUCAUAACUUCUUUAGUUGAAAUUCUUUUCCUAGUUGUGCAUAACUCUUUUAAAAACUUUGCAUACUUGUGCACUUGCUUAAUAGCAUCAAGUAAAGGAAUGUUUACUUGGACUUUUCGAAAGGUAUCCAAAAUGUCCUUUUCGCUUUCUUCCUUCUUCGAUUGUGCAAAUCUGCGAGGGAAAGGAAUAUUUGGCAGAUUAGUGUUCGAAAUCACAACAUUUGGGACAAUCUUACCUGGGGUGGACGGAUGGGAGGUCUUAGAUAGCUGCGGCAUGGGUUAUGCUACCUUUUCCGUAGGGUAAGUUUGCUCAUCUUCUUCAAUUUGUAUCUUCUCAUCUUCCUUGUUUCUCACUUCUUUUCCACUUCUUAGUGUGAUAGCUUUUGCAGAUUUGAAACCACCAUUGGGAUUGACCACCGUAGUGCUUGGUAACUUACCAUUUUCACGGAAUUGUCCCAAAAACUCGGCCAUUUGGCCCAUUUUCUUCUUUAGCUCAUUAACCUCCUUUGCUUGGUUCUGCAUUCCCUGCGCCAGUGUGGUUAGUAACUGAUAUGUUUUAUCGUCAUUCAUAGACGUACCUAUGUUGGGUUGGGAUGAUUGUGCUUGAGGAGGUGGUUGUGGUGCCAUUGGCCUCGGAAAGAAACCUGGGGGUUGUCGGAAUCCACUUUGUUGGCCAUAUUGUGGUGCAUCUCUCCAUCUGAAAUUGGGGUGGUCACGCCAUCCCGGAUUGUAUGUAUUGGAGAAAGGAUCACCCCUUGGUUGGUUUUGAUUCCCAUAACCCACAGCAUUUGCAGAUUCCCACAUUCCAUUCUCAAUUAAUUGAAGGCAUUGAUCAGAUUGGUGUCCUUAAAUGGAGCAUACACUGCAGAUUGUAGUUCCUUGCGCUUUGGGGCCUUCAACAAACUGCGAUAACAUAGACGUAAGGUUAGCCAUUUGGGAUUGUAACUCAGAAAUAGAACUUACAAUGUGGCCGUGGGGUGUCUCUUUGCCCAACACCUUCAUAUUGUUGUGCAUUGAGUGCUCGAUUAGCAAUGAGAGUUUUGGCAUCCCUAGGUGUCUUGUCCACUAGAGCUCCUCCAGCAGAUGCAUCCAACAUUUGUCGUUCAAGUGGUAAAAGGCCUUCGUAAAAAUAUUGAAGAAGUAGCUCUUCCUUCAUUUGGUAUUGUGGACGAGAAGCAACAAGAGCUUUAAAACGUUCAUAAUAAGUUGGAAAAGAUUCACCUUGGCUUUGCUGAAUUCCACUAAUCUUCUUGCGAAGAAGAAUGACUCGUGAUGUUGGAAAGAACUUCUUUAAGAAGGCUCGCUUCAUACUCUCCCAUGAUGUGACAGUUCCGGGAGCCAACUCAUACAACCAAUCCUUGGCCUUCUCCAACAAAGAAAAAGGAAAAGUUUUCAUCUUCAAUAUGUUGCUAUCCACGUUCAUCGGUGUCAUACUUGAGCAUACUACUUCAAACUCCUUUAAGUGUUUAUUGGGGUCCUCCAUUGAUAACCCAUGGAACUUGGGUAUAUGAUGUAGCAAACUUGACUUCAACUCAAAUUCAUCGGUCUUCUCAAGGUCUGCCCUAGGGUAUUGGAUGCAAAGAGGGGCUGCAUUGGCCAAACCCGAGGCAGAAAGCUCCUUGAUGGUUCGAUUGUCUACUGCCAUGGUUGGUACUUCCUCUUCACACCUUGCCGUGGCCUCCUCUUCAACCUCAACUUCUUGCUCUUCUAAUUCAGGUUCGGGACUAGGAGGAUUAGACUUUUGCAACCUCUUUUUCCUUCUCAAAGUUCUCUCAAAAUCACUGUCAAAGUCGAAGAUAUGCUCACGAACAGGUUAUGAGCUGCGGGUCAUAAAAUAGUACCUACACACAAGAGCAAACAAAGUUAGUAACCAACUUAAUAGACUCGGCACAAGUAAGGAAAUAAGGUGCCUAUACACGGCACAAAAACAAAACACACCCACGGUGCAAAAUUAAAACAAAACAGAAACUAAACAAUUUAAACAAGACUCAAGACAAGGGAUUAGCGACUUUGUCAAUCCCCGGCAACGGCGCCAAAAUUUGAUGCGUAAAAUAACUAAACACACAAAUUAAACCCUAUUUGUGACAAUUGUAGUAAUGAUAAGUAGGGAUCAUUCUAACCGGGGAUUAACUAGGGGUGCUAAUCUAAUAUAAAUUGAUUCAAAAACACAAAAACUAAACUUAAAGACUCUAACAAGACUACUAUGACUCAAAACAGAUUUAAAGCACUCAAAACUGCCUAAAACAAUCAAAUUGACUCAAAAAGAAACUAGAAUCAUUGAAUUGGAUGAAUAUGCAUCGCAAACAAAUUAUUCCUAACAAGUUCUCUAUAUGCAUAGCAUGAUAAAGACACAAGUUAGAAUCAUUACGUUCUUUGGAAAUCAUAAGCAUCGACAAGGCAUUUGUAACUAUGAAAAGCAUGAUACUUUUGCCAGGAAUCUACUUAACACGAUCGUGACUAGCGACCUUCACUACUUGCGAAUAUAAAUUCAUAAUGAUUAGGUGAAACAAAUUUAUAUCCUAGCACCAAAUUCAAGCAUGCAAAUUAAGCGUGCACUCUCAAUCAAGAUGCAAGAAUAAGUUCUCAAUCCAACGGUUAAGCAAAUUGUAUUCACAACUUAUGCAACGAUAACUGGAAGUAAUCAACUUAUUUCACAUAUAUAAUCAUGGUUUUGAAUACACCCUUAGCCAAAACAAAAUUAGCCAAUCAUACUUAAAGCAAAACAAAGAUUACAUGAAUUCGACAUUAAAAUCCAAAGAAAGGAAACACCUAGAAUACUCCAACUUGGGAGCAAGUGCAUCUAAGAUUUCUCCUUUCCGUUGCUUGAGGCAGAUUGGUUUGUGGACAGGUUUUGGGUAGUUUUAUGGUGUAGAAUGGAUGGGAAAUGGUAUGGAAAGGUUUAGGGUGAGUGUGGAGGAGUGUUUGAUGGUUGGAGGGUGGUGGAGAACUCGACAAAGAGGGUGGAAGAAGGUGGAGUGGCUGUUAUGUUUUCUGGGCACUAGAAUGGUGUUUUUG